AAGAAACUAACAAGGAUUCCCCUAGUAACUGCGAGUGAAGCGGGAAGAGCUCAAAUUUAAAAUCUGGCGGUCUCUGGCCGUCCGAGUUGUAACCUGGAGGAGGCUUUUCCGUGUCGGACCGUGUACAAGUCUCCUGGAAUGGAGCGUCAUAGAGGGUGAGAAUCCCGUCCAUGACACGGACGCCCGAUGCUUUGUGAUAGUCUCCCGAAGAGUCGCGUUGUUUGGGAAUGCAGCGCAAAAUGGGUGGUAAAUUCCAUCUAAAGCUAAAUAUUGGCGAGAGACCGAUAGCGAACAAGUACCGUGAGGGAAAGAUGAAAAGCACUUUGGAAAGAGAGUUAAACAGUACGUGAAAUUGUUGAAAGGGAAACGCUUGAAGUCAGUCGCGUCCCGGGGAACCCAGCCUGGCCUCGGCCUGGUGUACUUUCCUCGGGACGGGUCAACAUCAGUUUCGGGCGGUGGAUAAAGGCGAGGGGAAUGUAGCGUUGUUUCGGCGACGUGUUAUAGCCCCUCGUUGUAUACACCGUCGGGGACUGAGGACCGCAGCACGCCCUUGUGGCCGGGGGUUCGCCUCACGUACCGUGCUUAGGAUGUUGGCAUAAUGGCUUUAA
Molecule: ribosomal RNA, 608 nt
Filed under: Inocutis dryophila
Lineage: Eukaryota; Fungi; Basidiomycota; Agaricomycetes; Hymenochaetales; Hymenochaetaceae
Description: eukaryotic LSU rRNA
Rfam family: Eukaryotic large subunit ribosomal RNA
Source: RNAcentral